Molecule: long non-coding RNA, 659 nt
Organism: Acinonyx jubatus (cheetah)
Lineage: Eukaryota; Metazoa; Chordata; Mammalia; Carnivora; Felidae
Exons: 3
Source: RefSeq, a predicted model, not a curated record
GUGGUUCUCCUGGUUGGAGUGCAUUUAGUAGAGGUGCUACCGUUUUUCCUGGGGGAAAAGACUGAGUAGGCUCCAUCCAGCCGCCACGUUCACCUGUAUAGGAAUAAAGACACUGGCUGAGGGUAGCAAACCCUGGUGCCAGCUGUGUGUUGAGAUUUACCAUAAAUUCUGAGCUGCUGCUGCAGCUGGCCUGGGACAGGUCUGCCCUGGCCACAGGAAGGUGACUUGUAUAUGGAAGACACAGACACAUUUUUAUUCAAAUUGAAAGGGUAUUGUUUUGGUUGUGAAACCCUUGAUACUGGUUUUAUAGAAAAUUUAAAUGAUUUUGAAAUUAAGGAAGAUGGUGUCUUCAUAAUCACAUACUCCAAAUCUGGUGCUUUUGGAGACUAGAAAAAUCAGAUACCUGUUGAGCAGAAUGAAAGGUUUGAUAAGAUUUUCCAAAGGGAGAUGCAACAUUUUUCCCUUGAAGUUCAUCUGAGAUAUGAAUGAAGAAUAGAAUUCUCAGCAGUGCAAGACUAUUUUAAGAAAGCACUUUCAGGAGGAAAUAUAUUGAGUUGUAUACUUUCAUCCUGGACAGUCAUUGGCUCAUUAUUGAAAAACUUCAGUGAUUAAUAAACCUUAAUAUGCCACCUUUACAUCAUUUGCCGUCUGUGGCCUGU